CACAAGCGGCGGAGCAUGCGGAUUAAUUCGAUGCAACGCGAAGAACCUUACCAAGGCUUGACAUAUAGAGGAAACGUCUGGAAACAGUCGCCCCGCAAGGUCUCUAUACGGGUGGUGCAUGGUUGUCGUCAGCUCGUGUCGUGAGAUGUUGGGUUAAGUCCCGCAACGAGCGCAACCCUCGUUCUAUGUUGCCAGCACGUAAUGGUGGGAACUCAUGGGAUACUGCCGGGGUCAACUCGGAGGAAGGUGGGGAUGACGUCAAAUCAUCAUGCCCCUUAUGUCUUGGGCUUCACGCAUGCUACAAUGGCCGGUACAAAGGGCUGCAAUACCGUAAGGUGGAGCGAAUCCCAAAAAGCCGGUCCCAGUUCGGAUUGAGGUCUGCAACUCGACCUCAUGAAGUCGGAGUCGCUAGUAAUCGCAGAUCAGCAACGCUGCGGUGAAUACGUUCCCGGGUCUU
RNAcentral lists this ribosomal RNA (457 nucleotides) under uncultured Microbacterium sp. Its description in RNAcentral is "bacterial SSU rRNA". It matches the Rfam family "Bacterial small subunit ribosomal RNA", at positions 924 to 1382 of the family's 1533-position model. Lineage: Bacteria; Bacillati; Actinomycetota; Actinomycetes; Micrococcales; Microbacteriaceae. The record is from RNAcentral.